AUGGCCAGAAGCAGCCUCCUCUGCCUAGUUCGAUUGGCUUCCCUUCUUGCACUCGCUGGGAUAUUCGUCUCCGUCUCCGUCCAGGCCAGCCGGGGAGAUGCUGAUCCGCACUACAGAACUUGUGUGGGGGAGUGUCAGAAUACGGGGAUUAUUGGGAGCAACAUCAUCAGCCACUGCCAGUCCCGGGAGAACGACAGCAUAUCUGCUGGAAGUUCUUGGUACACACAGGAGGCCCUUGGCAUGCAGUGGAAGCAACUAAACUGUAUGACAGACUGCCGCUACUACUGCAUGAUGCGAAGAGAAGAGGAACGGCGAUUAGGUGGCCUGAGCCCUGUUCAAUAUCAUGGAAAAUGGCCCUUCAAACGUGUCUCUGUCUUCCAGGAGCCCCUCUCGGCCGCACUGUCUGCUCUCAACCUAUUGAUGCACUUCACUGGCUGGCUUUCGUUCUACCUGCUAGUGAAAUGCAGAUUACCUCUUAGACCUCAGACGAAGAGGACGUACUACGAAUACACUGGCUUAUGGCAUAUCUAUGCAAUAUUAUCAAUGAAUGCAUGGAUCUGGAGCUCCGUAUUCCAUACCAGGGAUAUAGACCUGACUGAGAAAUUGGAUUACUCUUCAGCUGUGGCCGUACUUGGCUACUCUUUAAUCGUUACAUUGCUAAGAAUUUUUAAUGUCAAGGAGGGGCCUGCCAGGGUGAUGGUUGCUGCACCUAUUCUAGCAUUCGUCACAACACACAUCCUGUAUCUUAACUUCUACGAGCUUGACUACGGAUGGAACAUGAAAGUCUGUGUGGCGAUGGGUGUGAUUCAAAUUGUGGCAUGGGCAACCUGGGCUGGCGUGACCCGUCAUCCGCCACGGUUGAAGCUUUGGGUCGUUGUGUUUGGAGGAGCUCUAGCUAUGCUUCUUGAGGUGUUUGACUUCCCUCCGUACAAGGGGUAUGCGGAUGCGCAUUCGCUGUGGCACGCGAGCACCGUUCCCCUCACCUAUCUCUGGUGGAGCUUCAUUAAAGAUGACGCAGAAUUCCGCACCUCCACACUCACACUGGUUAAGAAGGCCAGGUGA
RNAcentral lists this ribosomal RNA (1062 nucleotides) under Triticum aestivum (bread wheat). Its description in RNAcentral is "partial small subunit ribosomal RNA". Lineage: Eukaryota; Viridiplantae; Streptophyta; Magnoliopsida; Poales; Poaceae. The record is from RNAcentral.